CUUAGUGGCGGACGGGUGAGUAACGCGUGGGCAACCUGCCCCGUGCCGGGGGAUACCGCCUGGAAACAGGCGCUAAUACCGCAUAAGCGCAUACAGCCGCAUGGCAGUAUGCGGAAAGCUCCGGCGGCACGGGAUGGGCCCGCGCCCGAUUAGCCAGUUGGCGGGGUAACGGCCCACCAAAGCGACGAUCGGUAGCCGGCCUGAGAGGGCGGACGGCCACAUUGGGACUGAGACACGGACCAAACUCCUACGGAAGGCAGCAG
This 263-nucleotide ribosomal RNA is filed under the name uncultured bacterium. Its description in RNAcentral is "partial 16S ribosomal RNA". It matches the Rfam family "Bacterial small subunit ribosomal RNA", at positions 91 to 354 of the family's 1533-position model. The record is from RNAcentral.